This 497-nucleotide ribosomal RNA is filed under the name uncultured bacterium. RNAcentral describes it as "partial 16S ribosomal RNA". It matches the Rfam family "Bacterial small subunit ribosomal RNA", at positions 28 to 507 of the family's 1533-position model. The record is from RNAcentral.
GAUGAACGCUGGCGGCGUGCCUAAUACAUGCAAGUCGAGCGAACAGACGAGGAGCUUGCUCCUCUGACGUUAGCGGCGGACGGGUGAGUAACACGUGGAUAACCUACCUAUAAGACUGGGAUAACUUCGGGAAACCGGAGCUAAUACCGGAUAAUAUAUUGAACCGCAUGGUUCAAUAGUGAAAGACGGUUUUGCUGUCACUUAUAGAUGGAUCCGCGCCGCAUUAGCUAGUUGGUAAGGUAACAGCUUACCAAGGCAACGAUGCGUAGCCGACCUGAGAGGGUGUUCGGCCCCACUGGAACUGAGACACGCUCCAGACUCCUACGGGAGGCAGCAGUAGGGAAUCUUCCGCAAUGGGCGAAAGCCUGACGGAGCAACGCCGCGUGAGUGAUGAAGGUCUUCGGAUCGUAAAACUCUGUUAUUAGGGAAGAACAAAUGUGUAAGUAACUAUGCACGUCUUGACGGUACCUAAUCAGAAAGCCACGGCUAGCUACGUG